This 187-nucleotide non-coding RNA is filed under the name unclassified sequences. RNAcentral describes it as "malK-I RNA". It matches the Rfam family "malK-I RNA". The record is from RNAcentral.
UAGGCGCGAACACAGUCACUCCACUUAUUGAUUGUGCGGACGCUGAAUAAAAAGGAGGAAACUCAUCCCCUCGGCUUGGGGGUGCGGCAGUGUGGAGACCUGUCGCAACGCACGAUCGACGAAUGCGCGACGUGUGAGGCAGUUCGGUGGAGAAUUCCGGGACUGUUAAAGUCAAAGCAGUAUGGCA